Molecule: ribosomal RNA, 1057 nt
Filed under: Escherichia coli
Lineage: Bacteria; Pseudomonadati; Pseudomonadota; Gammaproteobacteria; Enterobacterales; Enterobacteriaceae
Description: bacterial LSU rRNA
Rfam family: Bacterial large subunit ribosomal RNA
Source: RNAcentral
UUAUAUUCUGUAGCAAGGUUAACCGAAUAGGGGAGCCGAAGGGAAACCGAGUCUUAACUGGGCGUUAAGUUGCAGGGUAUAGACCCGAAACCCGGUGAUCUAGCCAUGGGCAGGUUGAAGGUUGGGUAACACUAACUGGAGGACCGAACCGACUAAUGUUGAAAAAUUAGCGGAUGACUUGUGGCUGGGGGUGAAAGGCCAAUCAAACCGGGAGAUAGCUGGUUCUCCCCGAAAGCUAUUUAGGUAGCGCCUCGUGAAUUCAUCUCCGGGGGUAGAGCACUGUUUCGGCAAGGGGGUCAUCCCGACUUACCAACCCGAUGCAAACUGCGAAUACCGGAGAAUGUUAUCACGGGAGACACACGGCGGGUGCUAACGUCCGUCGUGAAGAGGGAAACAACCCAGACCGCCAGCUAAGGUCCCAAAGUCAUGGUUAAGUGGGAAACGAUGUGGGAAGGCCCAGACAGCCAGGAUGUUGGCUUAGAAGCAGCCAUCAUUUAAAGAAAGCGUAAUAGCUCACUGGUCGAGUCGGCCUGCGCGGAAGAUGUAACGGGGCUAAACCAUGCACCGAAGCUGCGGCAGCGACGCUGAUGCGUUGUUGGGUAGGGGAGCGUUCUGUAAGCCUGUGAAGGUGUACUGUGAGGUAUGCUGGAGGUAUCAGAAGUGCGAAUGCUGACAUAAGUAACGAUAAAGCGGGUGAAAAGCCCGCUCGCCGGAAGACCAAGGGUUCCUGUCCAACGUUAAUCGGGGCAGGGUGAGUCGACCCCUAAGGCGAGGCCGAAAGGCGUAGUCGAUGGGAAACAGGUUAAUAUUCCUGUACUUGGUGUUACUGCGAAGGGGGGACGGAGAAGGCUAUGUUGGCCGGGCGACGGUUGUCCCGGUUUAAGCGUGUAGGCUGGUUUUCCAGGCAAAUCCGGAAAAUCAAGGCUGAGGCGUGAUGACGAGGCACUACGGUGCUGAAGCAACAAAUGCCCUGCUUCCAGGAAAAGCCUCUAAGCAUCAGGUAACAUCAAAUCGUACCCCAAACCGACACAGGUGGUCAGGUAGAGAAUACCAAGGC